RNAcentral lists this ribosomal RNA (305 nucleotides) under uncultured bacterium. Its description in RNAcentral is "bacterial SSU rRNA". It matches the Rfam family "Bacterial small subunit ribosomal RNA", at positions 334 to 654 of the family's 1533-position model. The record is from RNAcentral.
UAGCCUACGGGACGCAGCAGUGGGGAAUAUUGCACAAUGGGCGAAAGCCUGAUGCAGCAACGCCGCGUGAAGGAAGACGGUUUUCGGAUUGUAAACUUCUAUCAAUAGGGAAGAAAGAAAUGACGGUACCUAAAUAAGAAGCCCCGGCUAACUACGUGCCAGCAGCCGCGGUAAUACGUAGGGGGCAAGCGUUAUCCGGAUUUACUGGGUGUAAAGGGAGCGUAGACGGUGCAGCAAGUCUGAUGUGAAAGGUCGGGGCCCAACCCCGGGACUGCAUUGGAAACUGUUGAACUGGAGUACAGGAG